AGUUAAUGAACUUGAUAAAGUAUAUGUUUUGAAAGCAUAAUAAAGAGGUAUAAUCCCCUAUUAACUU
This 67-nucleotide transfer RNA is filed under the name Pseudotetracha mendacia. Its description in RNAcentral is "tRNA-Ser". It matches the Rfam family "tRNA". From Rfam's summary of the family: Transfer RNA (tRNA) molecules are approximately 80 nucleotides in length. Their secondary structure includes four short double-helical elements and three loops (D, anti-codon, and T loops). Lineage: Eukaryota; Metazoa; Arthropoda; Insecta; Coleoptera; Carabidae. The record is from RNAcentral.